This 492-nucleotide ribosomal RNA is filed under the name uncultured bacterium. Its description in RNAcentral is "partial 16S ribosomal RNA". It matches the Rfam family "Bacterial small subunit ribosomal RNA", at positions 29 to 507 of the family's 1533-position model. The record is from RNAcentral.
AGUGAACGCUGGCGGUAGGCCUAACACAUGCAAGUCGAACGGCAGCACAGUAAGAGCUUGCUCUUACGGGUGGCGAGUGGCGGACGGGUGAGGAAUACAUCGGAAUCUACUUUUUCGUGGGGGAUAACGUAGGGAAACUUACGCUAAUACCGCAUACGACCUACGGGUGAAAGCAGGGGAUCUUCGGACCUUGCGCGAUUGAAUGAGCCGAUGUCGGAUUAGCUAGUUGGCGGGGUAAAGGCCCACCAAGGCGACGAUCCGUAGCUGGUCUGAGAGGAUGAUCAGCCACACUGGAACUGAGACACGGUCCAGAAUCCUACGGGAGGCAGCAGUGGGGAAUAUUGGCCAAUGGGCGCAAGCCUGAUCCAGCCAUACCGCGUGGGUGAAGAAGGCCUUCGGGUUGUAAAGCCCUUUUGUUGGGAAAGAAAAGCAGCAGGUUAAUACCCCGCUGUUCUGACGGUACCCAAAGAAUAAGCACCGGCUAACUUCGUG